GUCGGGAGUUAGGAAAUGCAAGGAUGUUAAUAGCGUCUUUGCUUGACUAAGGCUCCGGAGGAAGCCCCGGCUAACUUUGUGCCAGCAGCCGCGGUAAUACAGAGGCGGCCAGCGUUGUUUGGAAUUAUUGGGCGUAAAGAGCACGUAGGCGGCCGUGUAAGUCGGUUGUGAAAGCCUUCCGCUCAACGGGAGAACGGCAUCCGAUACUGCAUGGCUCGAGUGGGGGAGGGGAGAGUGGAACUUUUGG
Molecule: ribosomal RNA, 247 nt
Filed under: uncultured bacterium
Lineage: Bacteria
Description: partial 16S ribosomal RNA
Rfam family: Bacterial small subunit ribosomal RNA
Source: RNAcentral